RNAcentral lists this ribosomal RNA (379 nucleotides) under uncultured cyanobacterium. RNAcentral describes it as "bacterial SSU rRNA". It matches the Rfam family "Bacterial small subunit ribosomal RNA", at positions 376 to 770 of the family's 1533-position model. Lineage: Bacteria; Bacillati; Cyanobacteriota. The record is from RNAcentral.
CGAAAGCCUGACGGAGCAAGACCGCGUGAGGGAGGAAGGCUCUUGGNUUGUAAACCUCUUUUCUCAGGGAAGAAGCACUGACGGUACCUGAGGAAUCAGCAUCGGCUAACUCCGUGCCAGCAGCCGCGGUAAUACGGAGGAUGCAAGCGUUAUCCGGAAUCAUUGGGCGUAAAGCGUCCGCAGGUGGUAGUUCAAGUCGAUUGUCAAAGGCAGUAGCUUAACUACUGAGAGGCAGUGGAGACUGAAAGACUAGAGUGCGGUAGGGGUAGAGGGAAUUCCCGGUGUAGCGGUGAAAUGCGUAGAGAUCGGGAAGAACACCAGUGGCGAAAGCGCUCUGCUAGACCGGCACUGACACUGAGGGACGAAAGCUAGGGGAGCG